This 338-nucleotide long non-coding RNA is filed under the name Manacus vitellinus (golden-collared manakin). RNAcentral describes it as "lncRNA (ENSMVIG00005011657.1)". The record is from RNAcentral. Lineage: Eukaryota; Metazoa; Chordata; Aves; Passeriformes; Pipridae.
GGAGAGGGAGGAGGAUUCUUCCCAAACAAAGCCCUGCAAUAGAUACAUAAGGCAUUUCACCCCUUAAGGAGGUCUUGGGCAGAAAAGGAAAGUAUCAGACCAGAGAAGACUUUCCAAGUAUUCAUUUUUCAAUGUUUUGUCUGUCCACACUAUAAUGUGAGUCCCUAGGGAAUGGUCCACUUCAGCCUUAUUCCACGAUUCUCUGGAAGAGUCAUACAUGAGGCACAGAGGAAGUUUUCAGAGUGGGCAGAGCCUGUCAAGGUAGAUGAAGUGCAUUCUGCCUUUGCAAGGUACCAGCUGACUGUAUCAUUAACAGCAAUGGUAAUAAAAAAUGCAGC